Molecule: ribosomal RNA, 254 nt
Filed under: uncultured bacterium
Lineage: Bacteria
Description: partial 16S ribosomal RNA
Rfam family: Bacterial small subunit ribosomal RNA
Source: RNAcentral
UACGGGGGGGGUAAGCGUUGUUCGGAUUUACUGGGCGUAAAGGGCGCGUAGGCGGUCGUGACAAGUCACUUGUGAAAUCUCCGGGCUUAACUCGGAACGGUCAAGUGAUACUGUCGGACUAGAGUACAGAAGGGGCAACUGGAAUUCUCGGUGUAGCGGUGAAAUGCGCAGAUAUCAGGAGGAACACCGGUGGCGAAGGCGGUGAUCUGGGCCAGUACUGACGCUGAGGAGCGAAAGCGUGGGGAGCAAACAGG